This 441-nucleotide ribosomal RNA is filed under the name uncultured bacterium. RNAcentral describes it as "partial 16S ribosomal RNA". It matches the Rfam family "Bacterial small subunit ribosomal RNA", at positions 338 to 795 of the family's 1533-position model. The record is from RNAcentral.
CCUACGGGAGGCAGCAGUGGGGAAUAUUGCACAAUGGGGGAAACCCUGAUGCAGCGACGCCGCGUGAGUGAAGAAGUAUUUCGGUAGGUAAAGCUCUAUCAGCAGGGAAGAAGAAAGACGGUACCCGACUAAGAAGCCCCGGCUAACUACGUGCCAGCAGCCGCGGUAAUACGUAGGGGGCAAGCGUUAUCCGGAUUUACAGGGUGUAAAGGGAGAGUAGACGGCUGUGCAAGUCUGAAGUGAAAGCCCAGGGCUCAACCCUGGGACUGCUUUGGAAACUGUGGAGCUAGAGUGCUGGAGAGGUAAGUGGAAUUCCUAGUGUAGCGGUGAAAUGCGUAGAUAUUAGGAGGAACACCAGUGGCGAAGGCGGCUUACUGGACAGUAACUGACGUUGAGGCUCGAAAGCGUGGGGAGCAAACAGGAUUAGAUACCCCGGUAGUC